Callithrix jacchus (white-tufted-ear marmoset) is the source of this 5929-nucleotide non-coding RNA. The record is from RefSeq and is a predicted model, not a curated record. Lineage: Eukaryota; Metazoa; Chordata; Mammalia; Primates; Cebidae.
GAGGCCGGGCGCGGUGGCUCAUGCCUAUAAUCCCAGUACUGUGGGAGGCCGAGGCGGGUAGAUCACGAGGUCAAGAGAUCGAGACCAUCCUGGUCAACAAGGUUAAACCCCGUCUCUACUAAAAAUUACAAAAAAAUUAGCUGGGCACGGUGGCGCGUGCCUGUAAUCCCAGCUACUCGGGAGGCUGAGGCAGGAGAAUUGCUUGAACCCAGGAGGCGGAGGUUGCGGUGAGCCGAGAUCGCGCCGUUGCACUCCAGCCUGGAUAAUGAGCGAAACUCCAUCUCAAAAAAAAAAAAAAAUUAUGUUCACAUCAGGGAUUUAGUAUAUACAUAAACGUAAUCAUUAAGGCAGUUUAGUCUUGCUCCCCAAGUGGGAACUGGAAUUCUAAAUAAGUGGAUUUAGUAAUACAAUGGGUAGACUUGAAGUCAUUAACUUUAAAAGUCUUUUCAAUCCCUCAACCAAACUGUUCAGGGAUCCAAUCAAAGCGUGCCACAGGAAACCUCUGUAAGAUGGUUCAUCUCCAAAGAUGAUGGAGAGUAGUGUGUAAGUGUGAGGGAAACAGCAUUCAGAGCAUGGCUUACUUGUUAUUAGGCUUGAGCAGACAGCUUUGGUAUCAGGUCAGAAGCUGUCGCCCAGGCUGGAGUGCAGUGGCACAAUCCUGGCUCACCACAACCUCCACCUCCUGGGUUCAAGCAAUUCUGGGAUUUAAGGUCAGAAGCUGGGUUAACUAAGUAGCAGGCAGUCACUUUCUCACUAAAGGUAGCAGAUUUAAAAGUAGGAAUGACUUUAAAUUUUUGCAAUUAUUUAGUGUGACAUUCUACACUUGGCGUUGACAUUUUAGGAAACAUGGUCUUCUGUGACUAGAUUUUGUUUUUCUUGAGACCUAACAGCAGUUUUUGACCUCAAGCACUGAAGUUUGUUUUUGUUUUAUUGUAUGUGCCUGUUUUUUGUUUUUGUUUUUGUUUUUUUGUUUGUUUGUUUUGAAACGGAGUUUCGCUCUUGUUACCCAGGCUGGAGUGCAAUGGUGCCAUCUUGGCUCACUGCAACCUCGCCUCCUGGGUUCAGGCAAUUCUCCUGCCUCAACCUACUGAGUAGCUGGGAUUACAGGCACGCACCACCAUGCCCAGCUAAUUUUUGUAUUUUUAGUAGAGACGGGGUUUCACCAUAUUGACCAGGAUGGUCUCAAUCUCCUGACCUCGUGAUCCACCCACCUCGGCCUCCCAAAGUGCUGGGAUUACAGGCUUGAGCCACCGAGCCUGGCCCAUGUUUUAUUGUAAAGACAAUCUCACUCUGUCACCCAGGCUGGAUUGCAGUGGUGCAGUCACAGCUCACUGCAACCUCAAACUCCUGGGCCCAAGUGAUCAUCCUGCCUCAGCCUCCUGAGUAGCCAGGGCUACAGGUGUGCACCAUCGUGCCUGGCUAAUUUUUUAUUAUUUUGUAGAGAUUGAGGUCUUGCUGUGUUGCCCAGGCCCAGGCGAUCCUCCCACCUUAGCCUCCCAAAAUGCUGGAAUUACAGGUGGGAGUUAUUUGUGCCAAUCUCUGAAGUUUUAAAUCUCAGUAUAUUUAACCUUUUCUUACCUUUUUAUGACAGAGUUACUGGCAGUAGUAUUCUAUUCCAUGUUGUUUUCCUUUUAUCUCCAGAGAACGCAAACUUUGAUUUUGUAUCUUUUGUUUAGGGAGGGAAGAUAAUACAAAACAAACCAUUGAUUUUUUUGAAUGUUAGCAUAUGGAAACUCAAAACAUCACCUAUUGACGGAGAUUUUUUGUCCCUUCCUUUUUUUUUUUUUUUGAGACAGAGUCUUACUCUGUUACCCAGGCUGGAGUGCAGUGGUAUGUCAGCCCACCGCAACCUUCACCUCCUGGAUUCAAGCGAUUCUUCUGCUUGCUAAUUUUUGUAUUUUUAGUAGAGACUGGGUUUCACCAUAUUGGCCAGGCUGGUCUCGAACUCCUGAUCUCAUGAUCCACCUGCCUCGGCCUCCCAAUGUACUGGGAUUACAGGUGUGAGCCACCACGACCCAUGUCUUUCUUUUUAACUCCAAAGUUUAGAUAGUAUAUCAUUUUCUAGAAAAUACUGCAGCUGAAGUUUUUAUCCUGUAUGAGCAAUUUUUUCUUUAUUUUUGAGAUGAAGUCUCACUGUGUUACUCAGGCUGGAGUGCAGUGGUGCAGUCUUGGCUCACUGCAACCUCCACCUCCCAGGUUCAAGCCAUUCUCCUGCCUCAGCUUCAUGAGUAGUUGGGACACCAGGCACUCACCACCACACCCGGCUAAUUUUUGUAUUUUUAGUAGAAACAGGGUUUUGAUGUGUUGGCCAGGCUGGUUUCGAACUCCUGACCUCAGGUGAUCCACCCACCUCGGCCUCCCAAGGGAUUACGUCCCAAGUGCUGGGAUUACUGGCAUGAGCCACCUCACCCAGCCUUAGCAAUUUUCAUCAUAAGAAGUAGGGCAACGCUGUAAGAUUAUGUCCAUGAUUCUCAAACUGCUGCAUUUUGGAAUAACCUGGGAGUCAUUAAAAAAAAAAAAAACACACACACACAACCAAAAAACUGAUGCCUGACUUCCACAUCCAGACAUUCUGAAUUAAUUAGUAUGGAGUGUGACCUGAGCAGAGGGAUGUUUUUUCAAGUCCCAUAGUUCUAAUGUACAACAAAAUCUGGGAAACACUGGGUCAUGUCAAAAAAUGCUAAAUUAUUUCCCUAGUGCACACGUGGAAAACAACUGUGGGGCUAGCUCAAGUAGAAAAUCUUCUAAAUUGCGUUCGUAGCCCAGAAAGGAUUAUCAUAUUCCUAAAUGCAUUUUUAAAUGAGGGAAGGUGGAUACUGAAGUUGGAGGGAAAGACCUGGAAACUGAAAUACUUCAUUUUCUGAUUUUUUACAAAACUACACAUUUUUGUAGUUCAGUGGUUAUCAGUAUAAAUACCAUUUUUAAUAUCUCACCUGUCAUUUCUUAGAUAACUGCCUCAUCAUCAGUGUGAUUUCUGUAGCUACUCAUUUUCCUUCUCUAACAAUACUUCCAUUCUGUUUGACUUGUCUCUUGACAGCAAAUCUGAGCAUUCCUGAGUUUAAUCACUGUGAAUGUUCAUCUGUCUUACACUACCCCUGGCCACUUUAAAUUUGCCAUUUCAUCAUGUCGCUCAAUCACAGCACCUCUGGGUUUUAAGAGUUUCUUUAGAAUUCUGCUAUUCUCCCUGGUGACUUUGAAUUCAACCAUAGUUAAUUAACCUCACCAGAGAUAAGCUUUGGCAGCUGCAGAAGCUUACAGCUCAUCUAUUUAGGAAUCAGAACCUCAGGCCAAGUGUAGCUUGUACCACCUACACACUCUAGGUCUGUGGCUCACCUUACCAGUUCCUGCCUUUAAAGGUCACGUGGAUUGCACUUAAGCGUCUUUUCAUAAUGAGGUGUGCACACAGACUGGAAUCUCUUAGGUCUGUCUUUGGUUUUAUUAUAACUUGCUGGGACUACUUCCUGGAUUGCUCUGAUUUUACAGUUCAAAUGUAUGUCUUUAAUUAGAACCUGAAUUAAACAUGGAAGUCAGGGACUCCUAACUUCAGUGGCACCAUGGUAAUGGGGGUGAAGAGGAGGUUGCAAGCUCCCAUUAUAUUCUUUUGUUCUGCCCUGACAUCCUCUUCUUUCUAAAAAAAAAAAAAAAAAAAAAAAACCUUAGCUCCAGCUGGCAAGAGUGUUAAAUCAUUUACUGGAAAAUUUAAAAAUUGUAUAGUUUUUAACCUUGAGCCAGGCACUGUUCUAAACAGGUAAAAAUGUUGACUCCUUUAACCCUGAAAGCUCCUUAAAGAUGGGAAAAUAGGUUCUGGAAGAUUCAAUAGCUUGCCUGGAGUCAUAGUUAGUAAUGAAGGAGCCAGGAUUCCAACCCAGGUGUUUCAGCUCUAGCAAGUUUUUAACCAUGAGGCUUUGCUUCCACUUUUCUCCUUAGAUUUAACGGUAGAGAAGGAGCAUGGGAACCAAAUGCUCCUUCAAAAUGACUUGAAAAUGCCCUUUGCCCUGUUCCCGUCCCAGGGUCAGCACGGACGCAUUAGAGCCUGACUUCUUCAGUCUCCCCUCAAAGCAGCAGAAAGUUCUUAAUGUGGAGCCCUCUCAGGGAUGAAGCUAAUAAAGGAAAAUGCAUAUUCAUUCCUGGAUUCCAGCAAAUCAAACAAAAUGGACGCUGCGGGACAAAGUCUCACCUUUAUCAGAGAACUACGUGUAUAGCUCAGGUAGAGUGAGGCAAGUCAGAUGUUACAAACAUUUCUUAUCAGUGUUUUUAAUCCCCACUUUAGAGAUAAAAAUGAAAAAGGUUAAAUAAAACAACCAAUGUCACAUAACUAGCAGGGUAGCAAAGCCAAAAUUCAUACCCUACAUACCCUAUCUGAGUCCAAAACCCUUGCAUUUCCCCCCUACAACCAAUAGAGAAGAAGUGGAUCUUACCCCCCUUAUUAUGAGUGUAAUAAAACUUAAAUUUCUAGCAACAUGGCAGACUGGGCAACCUGAAAAUGAAUCACCACAAAAUACCAAGUAAGUGCCUUUUGAUUCAGUUCUUCCAUGGAUAACAACUACAAAUUCUAACCAAAAUAUAUUAAAAGCAACCACAGACCCUGGAGAAUAAAUAAAUCAAGCAAACAGGGGGGCUGGGGGGUGCAAAUGCAGUGUAUGAAGUACAUUGCCUGCUAAACAACACAAUACUCUUUGGAGGAGCAAAAGAACAGAACAGAAUCUAGAGUUUCUUUUUCGGGGGAGAUGGGGGUCUCACUAUUUUGCCGAGGCUGGUCUCAAACUCCUGAGCUGAAGCAACCCUCCUGUCUCAGCCUCCUGAGUAGCUAGGACUACAGGCAUACCACCAUGUCAGACUUGAAUCUAGAGUUUCUACAACUUAUUCAUGAUGUCCAGAAUAUAUCCAAAAUUACUCCACAUGUAAAGAAGCAAAACAUGACCCAUUUCUUAAGAAAAAAUCAGAAUCAUUUAAAUAAAGAAAUACUUAGGUAUAAACUUAACAAAACAUACAUAGGAUUUAUAAACUGAAAAUUACAAAAUGCUCAUGAAAAAUUAAAGACCACCUAAAUUACUAAAGAUAUUCCAUGUUCAUGGAAUAGAAGACUCAAUGUGGUAAAGAUGCUGAUUCAAAAUGAUCUGUAAGUUUAAUGAGAUUCCUAUCCAAAUUCUAAUAAGGUUCUUUUUAUAGAUAUUAGCUUAUUAAAAAACUUAUAUAAAAAGACACAGGCAAAAAAAAAAGCUACUAAAAUAGCGAGAACAAUAUGGAAAGGAAUAAAGUGGAAGGAACACCUGCUGAUACUGGAGUUUACUUUAUAUAGGUAUAGUCAUCAAGACAGGGAAAUACUAUAGAGGGAAAGAGACACAUGGAUCAAUGGAACUGAAAAAAGAACCCAGAAACCCACACAAAUAAAUAUGCCUAAGUGAACUUUCCUUUUUCUCUUGCUCGUUGCCCAGGCUGCAACCUCUGCCUCCUAGGUUCAAGCAGUUCUCCUGCCUCAGCCUCCUGAGUAGCUGGGACUACAGGUAUAUGCCGCCACAGCUGGCUAAUUUUGUAUGUUUUGAGAUGGAAUCUCACUCUGUUGCCCAGGCUGGAGUGUAGUGGUGCGAUCUUGGUUCACUGCAGCCUCCACCUCCCAAGUAGCUGGGAUUACAGGCGUGCACCACCACACCCAGCUAAUUUUUGUAUUUUUAGUAGAGACGGGGUUUCAUCAUAUUGGCCAGGCUGGUCUCAAACUCCUGACCUCAGGUGAUCUGCCUGCCUCGGCCUCCCAAAGUGCUGGGAUUACAGGCAUGAGCCACCGUACCCAGCCUCAGAAAAUAAUAUGUAAUCUACAUAUAAACACUCCUCCCUCCAAAAAGUAAAUAUCUUUGAUUUAGAAGUCCAAUGGAUAUAAUUCUAAAAAUAUUAAACUAACACACACACAAAAAAAAAAAAGAAAAAGGAAGAA